RNAcentral lists this ribosomal RNA (622 nucleotides) under uncultured fungus. RNAcentral describes it as "eukaryotic LSU rRNA". The stretch from base 255 to 405 matches the Rfam family "5.8S ribosomal RNA". Lineage: Eukaryota; Fungi. The record is from RNAcentral.
UCUUGGUCAUUUAGAGGAGUAAAAGUCGUAACAAGGUUUCCGUAGGUGAACCUGCGGAAGGAUCAUACUGAGUUAGGGUCAUCAUUGGCCCGACCUCCAACCCUUUGUCUACCUUUCUCAUGUUGCUUCGGCGAGCCCGUACUUUGAAAUAUAAGUACCGCCGGGGCCUUCGGGCCUCUGGUCAGUGCCCGUCGAUAGCCAUUAUUAAACUCUGUUUAACUGUGUCGUCUAAGUAAAAAGCACUUAAUAAAUUAAAACUUUCACAACGGAUCUCUUGGUUUUGGCAUCGAUGAAGAACGCAGCGAAAUGCGUAAGUAAUGCGAAUUGCAGAAUCCGUGAGUCAUCGAAUCUUUGAACGCAAUUGCGCCCUUUGGUAUUCCGAAGGGCAUGCCUGUUCGAGCGUCAUUAUACCUCUCAAGCCUAGCUUGUUGUUGGAUCUAGGUCUUGCUUUCGGCAUGCCGAUCCCAAAGAUAAUGACGGCGUCUGUGAGGACCCCAGUACACUGAGUUUCUAAGCACGUAUUAGGUGGAAAUCCAGGCCCGGUCUUACUUAUAUUUAACAAGGUUGACCUCGGAUCAGGUAGGGAUACCCGCUGAACUUAAGCAAUCAAUAAGCGGAGGAA